UAGUCUGGUGCCAGCAGCCGCGGUAAUUCCAGCUCCAAUAGCGUAUAUUAAAGUUGUUGCAGUUAAAACGCUCGUAGUCGGAUUUCGGGGCGGGCCGACCGGUCUGCCGAUGGGUAUGCACUGGCCGGCGCGUCCUUCCACCCGGAGACCGCGCCUACUCUUAACUGAGCGGGCGCGGGAGACGGGUCUUUUACUUUGAAAAAAUCAGAGUGUUUCAAGCAGGCAGUCGCUCUUGCAUGGAUUAGCAUGGGAUAAUGAAAUAGGACUCUGGUGCUAUUUUGUUGGUUUCGAACACCGGAGUAAUGAUUAACAGGGACAGUCAGGGGCACUCGUAUUCCGCCGAGAGAGGUGAAAUUCUCAGACCAGCGGAAGACGAACCACUGCGAAAGCAUUUGCCAGGGAUGUUUUCACUGAUCAAGAACGAAAGUUAGGGGAUCGAAGACGAUCAGAUACCGUCGUAGUCUUAACCAUAAACCAUGCCGACUAGGGAUUGGAGGAUGUUCCAUUUGUGACUCCUUCAGCACCUUUCGGGAAACUAAAGUCUUUGGGUUCCGGGGGGAGUAUGGUCGCAAGGCUGAAACUUAAAGGAAUUGACGGAAGGGCACCACCAGGAGUGGAGCCUGCGGCUUAAUUUGACUCAACACGGGGAAACUUACCAGGUCCAGACAUAGUAAGGAUUGACAGAUUGAUAGCUCUUUCUUGAUUCUAUGGGUGGUGGUGCAUGGCCGUUCUU
Molecule: ribosomal RNA, 733 nt
Filed under: uncultured eukaryote
Lineage: Eukaryota
Description: SSU rRNA
Rfam family: Eukaryotic small subunit ribosomal RNA
Source: RNAcentral